RNAcentral lists this ribosomal RNA (513 nucleotides) under uncultured bacterium. RNAcentral's name for it is "partial 16S ribosomal RNA". It matches the Rfam family "Bacterial small subunit ribosomal RNA", at positions 28 to 507 of the family's 1533-position model. The record is from RNAcentral.
GACGAACGCUGGCGGCGUGCUUAACACAUGCAAGUCGAACGAGAGCGUAGAGAAAGCUUGCUUUUUCUACAAUCUAGUGGCAAACGGGUGAGUAACGCGUAAACAACCUGCCCUACGGAUGGGGACAACAGCUGGAAACGGCUGCUAAUACCGAAUACGUUCCGAAAGUCGCAUGACUAUCGGAAGAAAGGAUGGCCUCUAUUUAUAAGCUAUCGCCGGAGGAGGGGUUUGCGUCUGAUUAGCUAGUUGGAGGGGUAACGGCCCACCAAGGCGACGAUCAGUAGCCGGUCUGAGAGGAUGAACGGCCACAUUGGAACUGAGACACGGUCCAGACUCCUAAGGGAGGCAGCAGUGGGGAAUCUUCCGCAAUAGGCGAAAGCCUGACGGAGCAACGCCGCGUGAGUGAAGACGGCCUUCGGGUUGUAAAGCUCUGUUAUACGGGACGAAUAAUCUUGUGGUUAAUACCCAUGAGAAGUGACGGUACCGUAAGAGAAAGCCACGGCUAACUACGUG